AGGACGAACGCUGGCGGCGUGCUUAACACAUGCAAGUCGAGCGGAAAGGCCCUUCGGGGUACUCGAGCGGCGAACGGGUGAGUAACACGUGAGCAACUUGCCCCUGGCUCUGGGAUAGCCUCCGGAAACGGGGAUUAAUACCGGACAUUCACUUCCUUCCGCAUGGUUGGUGGUGGAAAGUUUUUUCGGCCGGGGAGGGGCUCGCGGCCUAUCAGCUUGUUGGCGGGGUAACGGCCCACCAAGGCGACGACGGGUAGCCGGCCUGAGAGGGCGACCGGCCACACUGGGACUGAGACACGGCCCAGACUCCUACGGGAGGCAGCAGUGGGGAAUAUUGCGCAAUGGGCGGAAGCCUGACGCAGCGACGCCGCGUGGGGGAUGAAGGCCUUCGGGUUGUAAACCCCUUUCACCAGGAGCGAAUCCAGACGGUACCUGGGGAAGAAGCGCCGGCUAACUACGUGCCAGCAGCCGC
This 472-nucleotide ribosomal RNA is filed under the name uncultured bacterium. RNAcentral's name for it is "SSU rRNA". It matches the Rfam family "Bacterial small subunit ribosomal RNA", at positions 26 to 518 of the family's 1533-position model. The record is from RNAcentral.